This 206-nucleotide long non-coding RNA is filed under the name Nicotiana benthamiana. RNAcentral's name for it is "long non-coding RNA (NBEN_LNC001638)". The record is from RNAcentral. Lineage: Eukaryota; Viridiplantae; Streptophyta; Magnoliopsida; Solanales; Solanaceae.
AUAAUCGAUUAUCUUCUCACGAUAAUCGAUUAACUCAGUAGAAAAAUGAUUUCAAGACGUUUUUCAUUGUUUAUUUAAAUACCAAAAAUAUAAUAUAUAUGUCUUAAAUAUUAAAGACACUUUUAUAAACCUUUUUGGUUCAAUUUAGAACAUGAAAAUCAAUUUAUUCCAAGAGUAUAAAAAUUAUUUAUGAUAUGCAUAUGUUU